GACGAACGCUGGCGGCGUGCUUAACACAUGCAAGUCGAACGGACAGGCCCUGCUUUUGUGGGUUGCUCGAGUGGCGAACGGGUGAGUAACACGUGAGUAACCUGCCCUUGACUUUGGGAUAACUUCAGGAAACUGGGGCUAAUACCGGAUAGAAGCUCCUGCUGCAUGGGGGGGGUUGGAAAGUUUCGGCGGUUGGGGAUGGACUCGCGGCUUAUCAGCUUGUUGGUGGGGUAGUGGCUUACCAAGGCUUUGACGGGUAGCCGGCCUGAGAGGGUGACCGGCCACAUUGGGCCUGAGGUACGGCCCAGACUCCAACGGGAGGCAGCAGUGGGGAAUAUUGCACAAUGGGCGGAAGCCUGAUGCAGCAACGCCGCGUGCGGGAUGACGGCCUUCGGGUUGUAAACCGCUUUCGCCUGUGACGAAGCGUGAGUGACGGUAAUGGGUAAAGAAGCACCGGCUAACUACGUG
RNAcentral lists this ribosomal RNA (468 nucleotides) under uncultured bacterium. RNAcentral's name for it is "partial 16S ribosomal RNA". It matches the Rfam family "Bacterial small subunit ribosomal RNA", at positions 28 to 507 of the family's 1533-position model. The record is from RNAcentral.